GAUGAACGCUGGCGGCGUGCCUAAUACAUGCAAGUCGAGCGAACAGACGAGGAGCUUGCUCCUCUGACGUUAGCGGCGGACGGGUGAGUAACACGUGGAUAACCUACCUAUAAGACUGGGAUAACUUCGGGAAACCGGAGCUAAUACCGGAUAAUAUAUUGAACCGCAUGGUUCAAUAGUGAAAGACGGUUUUGCUGUCACUUAUAGAUGGAUCCGCGCCGCAUUAGCUAGUUGGUAAGGUAACGGCUUACCAAGGCAACGAUGCGUAGCCGAACUGAGAGGGUGAUCGGCCACACUGGAACUGAGACACGGUCCAGACUCCUACGGGAGGCAGCAGUAGGGAAUCUUCCGCAAUGGGCGAAAGCUUGACGGAGCAACGCCGCGUGAGUGAUGAAGGUCUUCGGAUCGUAAAACUCUGUUAUUAGGGAAGAACAAAUUUGUAAGUAACUAUGCACAUCUUGACGGUACCUAAUCAGAAAGCCACGGCUAACUACGUG
Molecule: ribosomal RNA, 497 nt
Filed under: uncultured bacterium
Lineage: Bacteria
Description: partial 16S ribosomal RNA
Rfam family: Bacterial small subunit ribosomal RNA
Source: RNAcentral